CACCUCUACCCACCGCCUGAAUGCUGGUGGCAGAUCCUAUACAUGUACACAUCAGUUAGUAAUGUAUUUGUUAAUACUGUGUUACAUACAAAACAAUUACCUUGUACAACGUAACUAAUACAAAUCACCCCCCAUCAAUUAAAAACUGAAUGUACACAUUUAGCAUAACUAAUAAUUUGUGGAUGGCUAAACCAUUUAUCAAAAAGCAGACAUUAACAUCAAAAUGCGAAAGUGGUGAGACAUCUUGAUAUACCAGUUUUGUUUUGUCCGAUCCCGGUAAAAUUACUUUGAAGAACGACGUGACCUUGUUUGCCAUCCUUGAUUCGUCUCCCUGCAAUAACCAAUGACAUUAGUUACUUUAAAAGGACGGUUAUCUGAUUCUUGUCCUCAUCCCUUAAGUUCCCCUUAUACAUCUGGGUUUAAUCCGUUCAAUCUAGCACACACACGCACACACUUGAUUCCUUUAUGUUUUCCAAUUUCAUCUAAUAAUCCGUAUACCCGAUGGAGACAUCCGAACUAAAAAGAGGAGCAUCUAUAAAGACAAGGGACAGCAUCAACACUUUAAAAUGACAUGUUUAUGGGUUUGUAUGGACCAUAUCCCGACGUUAUCAUAUAACCCCACAGUGCAGGCAAACUCCUUAUUUGGAUAUGGAAGUUUUGACAUGAAGUGGUACUUACUACAGCGAUUGGACCCAAAUAUGAGUUCACUUCGUCUUUAAUCCACGUGAACAGAUGACGACACCUCUUGACUGUCCUUACUCCGAUAGGGUGAGCUGUGCAAUUAGGCUUCACCUACGCCUACGGUCGUCGGCAAACGUACUGUGUCGGGCAACCUACGGUCAUAGUGAGAUAGAUGAGUUGCGGCCGGUCUUGUGGAUAGAUAUGGGAAGAAAGAGUUGGGGGCCGGUGAUAUGGAUAGAGAUGGGAAGAAAGAGUUCCGGUCGGUGAUAUGUGUAAGAGAUGGCAAGAAAGAGUUGCGGCCAACUUAAGAGGCAGCUCUAUUUAUAGUCCUAUUCAGGAUGUUGGUUAACUGCAUAUAUAUAUAACUGUAUUUGUGGACCGAACCAACCCGUGGAAGCAUCCCAGUCCAGUUGGCUAUGACUGGUAUUGGUUAUGAAGUUUUAAACCUGUGGUAUAUGGUUCGAUUCAUAUGAUUUGCACAAAAAAUUUUCAUUUGUUUUUUUAAUAUGCAACGAAUCAGAUAUAUAGACAAAUGGGACCGUCAUAUCUCUUUAACUAAAAUCUAUAGCCGAUAAUAUAAGUGAUUUUUUUAUUAUCCAGUUCUAAGAACUUUUGAAAAUUUAUAAAUUAACCUUAUUAUCUGAAAAAUAUUACGAAUUUGUGCCAAUACUCUCUUCAUCAUUGGAACCUGCUUAACCCGGACAUUUUACAUUUUGGUAAAAACUUAUACACAUAUUUUAAAAUUUAGGAAUGUGAUUACUCACAGUCAUUAGCUCAACUAUACUCAAACCAUAUCAGAAAUUAUUCAUUUUUCAACCAUUGUCAUAUUAUACUACUCUGAUGACAUCCUAUUUCACAUUAUUUUUUAAAAUCACAAGUCUUAUAUAUGUAUAUUUUUUUGACACUAAAGUACGCUUGUAUACAACCAACUUACUCAGAUUUAUGACUUUAAUUUACCACGAGAUUUAUGAACCCACGAAAAAAUCCUUUGACGGGUUAUGAAUCCAUUUUUAUUUAACUCAUCUAACUAUGGUUAACGAUUAAUUUUGGGUGCGGCUAUUUCCAUUCCACUAAAUGCUCAGUUCACCCCACGCCUUAUUUUUUACCUUUAAUGUUCCAAUUAUGCCCUUCAA
This 1814-nucleotide long non-coding RNA is filed under the name Fragaria vesca (wild strawberry). RNAcentral describes it as "long non-coding RNA (FVES_LNC003633)". Lineage: Eukaryota; Viridiplantae; Streptophyta; Magnoliopsida; Rosales; Rosaceae. The record is from RNAcentral.